This is a non-coding RNA of Peromyscus maniculatus bairdii (prairie deer mouse), 1155 nucleotides long. Lineage: Eukaryota; Metazoa; Chordata; Mammalia; Rodentia; Cricetidae. The record is from RefSeq and is a predicted model, not a curated record.
ACUAGCUCUUGUGAUCCCUCCUCUCUCUUUUCAGCUGAAGUCUAGGAGCUCAGCCCAGUGCUUUGCUGUGGAUCAUUGCAUCUGCUUCCAUCAGUUACUGGAUGUAGGUUCUAUGGUGAUCAUUAGGGUACUCACUAAUCUGAUUGUAGGGGGAGAUACUCUACUCAGAGAUGAAGUCUGAUCAACGCAUUGCAGAGGAAAAAGCAGCAACAGGCAAACAUUGGAAUCCUCUCUGAACAGCAUUACUAUUUUAAUAUUUGCACAAAGCAUUCAGAACCCAUUUCACAAUGUAUGCUCAUUACAGUUUUUUGAAACGUCGAAGGGACAAAACCGUGAUGUUUUAUGCUUUCCCUUGGUGUGAGAAGAGCUCAGACUCUGGCAAGGAAAACAGUUAAAAGAGCCCCACAAGAGCCUGUCCUUUAUCAAAGGCAUUGUUUAUAUACAGCAUAAAGACAAACUUUAUACAAUAUGUCAAACUUCCAAUGCAUAAUUAAUAAUAAAUGGACAUCAGCUUGAUAUCUGAAAACACAGCUGUCUGUCUUGGACAUUCUCUUCAAGUAUGUAAAGAUCUGUGCUCAAAGUGCACCUCAGGCACGCACAAGGCCUCUCCCUAACUAGUCAGCUACAGAGCAUGGGGCCCUGGUGACUCCAGGAAAAAACACUAUGUCUCUCUGGAACUUAACUUUGCCUAAUAACCCUUUAUACAUGUCCUUUCUAGGACCCAUUACAACUAAAAACGACAGUGGUCCUUCCUGCUUAUGCUAACAAAUGAUUUGAGAAAUUUUAAUAUUAAUCAUGUUCCUAAAAUCUCUUCAUAUCCACAGGGUCAAGCUAUUGUGGAACAUCACCAUAAACUACUUUAUUGGCAAAUUAAAAACAAACAAACAAAGAAACAAAUAAAUGGGGGUAUUUACAACCACCUAAAUCCUCACAUAGUAUUAACUAUUUAGCUAUAUUAACUUUAAUUUUUUGAAAUAAUUUCAUUUUAAAAGAUAAUAGUUUUUCUUCUGCCCAAAAGUGUUUGCUGCAAAGAAGACACAACCCAAAGUAAAAUGCUAAAUAAAAAGAAAGAACCUGAUAUUCUAACAUCAUGGUGAGGUUAUGCUUGAGUCUUUUUAGAAUAUAAACAAAGUCCCAGAUGGCUCCUGACCAGGA